This 233-nucleotide long non-coding RNA is filed under the name Lupinus angustifolius (narrow-leaved blue lupine). Its description in RNAcentral is "long non-coding RNA (LANG_LNC002021)". The record is from RNAcentral. Lineage: Eukaryota; Viridiplantae; Streptophyta; Magnoliopsida; Fabales; Fabaceae.
UGGAAUCGAGGAGCUGAAACUGGUUCAAUCUGUAUCCUGUCUUUGGUAUUGGAAGCAUAUGGGAAUGGGAUGUUUUUGUACUAGAUUGAUAAAUAAAGUCUAGACAAAAUUCUCCCUGUACUCCACAUAAAAAACUCUUCCCUUCACACAUUGAUUAUCCCCCUGUUUUCAAUGUGCCUAGCGAUACCCUGCAGCAUAAUAUCUAAGAAAGAUCGGAAAUAAAAUAAAGUUAG